GAUGAACGCUGGCGGCGUGCCUAAUACAUGCAAGUCGAGCGAAAGGACGCGAAGCUUGCUUUUCUGAUGUUAGCGGCGGACGUGUGAGUAACACGUGGAUAACCUACCUAUAAGACUGGGAUAACUUCGGGAAACCGGAGCUAAUACCGUAUAAUAUUUUGAACCGCAUGGUUGAAAAGUGAAAGACGGUCUUGCUGUCACUUAUAGAUGUAUCCGCGCUGGUUUAGCUAGUUGGUAAGGUAACGGCUUACCAAGGCAACGAUGCAUAACCGACCUGAGGGGGUGGUCGGCCACACUGGAACUGAGACACGCUCCAGACUCCUACGGGAGGCAGCAGUAGGGAAUCUUCCGCAAAGGGCGAAAGCCUUACGGAGCAACGCCGCGUGAGGGAUGAAGGUCGUCGGAUCGGAAAACUCUGUUAUUAGGGAAGAACAUAUGUGUAAGUAACUGUGCACAGCUUGACGGUACCUAAUCAGAAAGCCACGGCUAACUACGUG
This 497-nucleotide ribosomal RNA is filed under the name uncultured bacterium. RNAcentral's name for it is "partial 16S ribosomal RNA". It matches the Rfam family "Bacterial small subunit ribosomal RNA", at positions 28 to 507 of the family's 1533-position model. The record is from RNAcentral.